AUCCACCUGAGUUGAGUAUGACUACCCGCUGAACUUAAGCAUAUCAUUUAGCGGAGGA
Molecule: ribosomal RNA, 58 nt
Filed under: Aphelenchoides fragariae
Lineage: Eukaryota; Metazoa; Nematoda; Chromadorea; Rhabditida; Aphelenchoididae
Description: partial 28S ribosomal RNA
Source: RNAcentral